This is a ribosomal RNA of Kurthia sp. 11kri321, 116 nucleotides long. The record is from Rfam. Lineage: Bacteria; Bacillati; Bacillota; Bacilli; Caryophanales; Caryophanaceae.
UCUGGUGGCGAUAGCAAAGAGGUCAUACCCGUUCCCAUGCCGAACACGGAAGUCAAGCUCUUUAGCGCCGAUGGUAGUUGGGGGUUUCCCCCUGUGAGAGUAGGACGCUGCCGGGC